Molecule: ribosomal RNA, 428 nt
Filed under: uncultured bacterium
Lineage: Bacteria
Description: partial 16S ribosomal RNA
Rfam family: Bacterial small subunit ribosomal RNA
Source: RNAcentral
GUGGGGAAUAUUGGGCAAUGGGGGAAACCCUGACCCAGCAACGCCGCGUGAAGGAAGACGGUUUUCGGAUUGUAAACUUCUUUUAUCGGGGACGAAAAAAAUGACGGUACCCGAAGAAAAAGCCACGGCUAACUACGUGCCAGCAGCCGCGGUAAUACGUAGGUGGCAAGCGUUGUCCGGAUUUACUGGGUGUAAAGGGCGUGUAGGCGGGACUGCAAGUCAGAUGUGAAAUACCAAGGCUUAACUUUGGGGCUGCAUUUGAAACUGUAGUUCUUGAGUGAUGGAGAGGCAGGCGGAAUUCCUAGUGUAGCGGUGAAAUGCGUAGAUAUUAGGAGGAACACCAGUGGCGAAGGCGGCCUGCUGGACAUUAACUGACGCUGAGGCGCGAAAGCGUGGGGAGCAAACAGGAUUAGAAACCCGGGUAGUCC